RNAcentral lists this ribosomal RNA (108 nucleotides) under Kochiana brunnipes. RNAcentral describes it as "partial 12S ribosomal RNA". The record is from RNAcentral. Lineage: Eukaryota; Metazoa; Arthropoda; Arachnida; Araneae; Theraphosidae.
AAUUUUUUAAAACGAAGAUAUUUAAAAAGUGUACAUAUCGCCCGUCACCCUCGUCUAAAGAUGAGGUAAGUCGUAACACAGUUAAUGUACUGGAAAGUGUAUUAAGGG